GUCUACGGCCAUACCACCCUGAACGUGCCCGAUCUCAUCUGAUCUCGGAAGCUAAGCAGGGUCGGGCCUGGUUAGUACUUGGAUGGGAGACCAGUAGAAACUGCAAUUCCACAUGGAUG
This 119-nucleotide ribosomal RNA is filed under the name Ochotona princeps (American pika). Lineage: Eukaryota; Metazoa; Chordata; Mammalia; Lagomorpha; Ochotonidae. The record is from RNAcentral.